UACGAAGGGGGCUAGCGUUGUUCGGAAUUACUGGGCGUAAAGCGCGCGCAGGCGGUCUUCCAAGUCAGUGGUGAAAGCCCGGAGCUCAACUCCGGAACUGCCAUUGAAACUGUAAGGCUUGAGGAUGAGAGAGGUGAGUGGAAUUCCCAGUGUAGAGGUGAAAUUCGUAGAUAUUGGGAAGAACACCAGUGGCGAAGGCGGCUCACUGGACUGGUAUUGACGCUGAGGUGCGAAAGCGUGGGGAGCAAACAGG
Molecule: ribosomal RNA, 253 nt
Filed under: uncultured bacterium
Lineage: Bacteria
Description: partial 16S ribosomal RNA
Rfam family: Bacterial small subunit ribosomal RNA
Source: RNAcentral